Molecule: transfer RNA, 80 nt
Filed under: Nocardia farcinica IFM 10152
Lineage: Bacteria; Bacillati; Actinomycetota; Actinomycetes; Mycobacteriales; Nocardiaceae
Description: putative tRNA-Arg
Rfam family: tRNA
About the family: Transfer RNA (tRNA) molecules are approximately 80 nucleotides in length.
Source: RNAcentral
GCCUCCGUAGCUCAGUUGGAUAGAGCAAGGGCCUUCUAAUCCCUAGGUCGCAGGUUCGAUUCCUGCCGGGGGCGCAACGA